Molecule: ribosomal RNA, 531 nt
Filed under: uncultured bacterium
Lineage: Bacteria
Description: SSU rRNA
Rfam family: Bacterial small subunit ribosomal RNA
Source: RNAcentral
UAAUUCGAUGCAACGCGAAAAACCUUACCCACCUUUGACAUGUACGGAACCCUUUAGAGAUAGAGGGGUGCUCGAAAGAGAGCCGUAACACAGGUGCUGCAUGGCUGUCGUCAGCUCGUGUCGUGAGAUGUUGGGUUAAGUCCCGCAACGAGCGCAACCCUUGUCAUUAGUUGCUACAUUCAGUUGGGCACUCUAAUGAGACUGCCGGUGACAAGCCGGAGGAAGGUGGGGAUGACGUCAAGUCCUCAUGGCCCUUAUAGGUGGGGCUACACACGUCAUACAAUGGCUGGUACAAAGGGUUGCCAACCCGCGAGGGGGAGCUAAUCCCACAAAGCCAGUCGUAGUCCGGAUCGUAGUCUGCAACUCGACUACGUGAAGUCGGAAUCGCUAGUAAUCGUGGAUCAGAAUGUCACGGUGAAUACGUUCCCGGGUCUUGUACACACCGCCCGUCACACCAUGGGAGCGGGUUCUGCCAGAAGUAGUUAGCUUAACCGCAAGGAGGGCGAUUACCACGGCAGGGUUCGUGACUGG